Molecule: long non-coding RNA, 2371 nt
Filed under: Eucalyptus grandis
Lineage: Eukaryota; Viridiplantae; Streptophyta; Magnoliopsida; Myrtales; Myrtaceae
Description: long non-coding RNA (EGRA_LNC001698)
Source: RNAcentral
CGGAACACAUCAUUUCAAUCAUAUGGGUCUCGAUUAUAAGACCAAACUGUUAUAACAUGUCUCAAACCGUGCCACACAAUUUUUUCCUACAAUCAAGCGCAACUAUCACAACCAUUUAGGCGUGUUCCAAUUAUUACAACCAAUCGGCCACAGCCAACUCAACAGUUGGUGGUCAUCUAGCGUAACUGGGCAUCAUCCUGCCCCAUCGGGCAUUGUAUCGUCUAGAAUCGCCGCCUAGACGGCAUUCCACACAGGAGCUUCGUUUUGAAAUCCAUUCGCAAACGGCAACAUCUAACAUCCUCCGCCUAGACGGCAUUCCACACAGGAGCUUCGUUUUGAAAUCCAUUCGCAAACGGCAACAUCUAACUUGCUCCGCCUAGACGGCAUUCCACACAGGAGCAUCAUCCCGCAUAAUCAUACACAUUAGAAUGGGUUCACUUAGUGACCACACGAGCACAUACUUGGCCUUGCUUUGCGUUCAAAUACCUCAUUUUCAAAUAAUGAACUUGGUCACUUUUCUUCGUAUUAAAAUUCCUAGUAAAAAUAAUCUUGCAUGGUCAAAUAUUUGGAAUCGAACCAUCAAACUUGGUAUACUCCUAUUAUAAAACCUCCUUGUUUUAUUGAGCAUAUAAAAUUCGGCAUCCAAACCCGACACCUCAUUUAUUUUCUAUUUUCUUUCCCAACCACCCCUUUUUGUAACUAAACUUAGGGUAAUCCCCCCAUUUUUUUUUGUUCAAAGCUUUUGGAAAGAAAUUCGUAGGUGUUCACGUACUCAAAAUUAAUCCACCAAAAUUUGCACACACCUAGUUUAAAACCUCAUUGUUUUAUUGAGCAAAUAAAUUUUGGUGUCCAACCCAACACCUCAUUACUUUUCUAAUAAAUUGCCCAUAAGGCCAUCUUUUGCAAUGACAAUAUACACUCACCAUAAAACGACCAUUCACAUAUUAUCACGCAUAAGUUAUAAGUAUGUCAAAAGUCAACCAAAUCACCAAAUAUACAUUAUCCAGCAAGCACAACACCAAGAAUAACCACAAAACCACAAUCGGCCCUAACCGGCAGAAACUAGGUCCACUCGCGCGUCUCCAAGAUUAAUUCUAGAAAAAAUACUUAAAAAAGUUCAUUAAAUUCUAAAAUUUAAUAUGUCAUAAAGGACACUUAAAAAAACACUUUUCAUCAAGACACCUUGACCCAUAUAUUACUAGAUUAAGAGCAGUAAAUCGCUCAAACCGUUACCAAAACUGUGUCCGUAUCCAGAAAUUCUGUUUUCCAAAAUUAGUUUUUCUUGAGGUCCAAAAAAUGUCCGUUUGAUCUAAAAUUUGAAUAUGUUAAAAUAUAAGAUGUAAUGAAAAAAAUUUGUGAAUAAACUCUUUCGAAAAUCGGACCCUAAGAGUUGAUAAAAAUCCUUUGAACGACAAAAGGUCACAAGUUCCAGCACCAACUCGAAAUUUUGUUUUGCAAAUGACAAGGCUGAAAUAUUAUUCUUUUAAAUCCCUAAAAUCUUGAGUAAAAUAUAUGUCAUAGCUGAAGAUAUCUAGAACAUUUUUCAAGAAUGAAGUAACCUCAAAAUCGCAGCAUAUUUCCAUCCACGAAAAUAGCAAACGGCGAAUGUCUAGUAAACUGAACUGGAGAGAAAUCCACUAAACCAAGCUAAACCACCCUCAUUAAUACUAAUCUAACCAACUAGAUUAACACUAAUACAUCUUAAGGCUAAUCUAACCAAACUAGAUUAAUACUAAUCCAUCUUAAGGCUAAUUAACGCUAAUCUAACCCCUAAGCGCAAUUAACAACCUAAUCAAGGAUUAGGGAGUUAACUCACCGGUUAGGGCGGUGGCGGGUUCACAGCGACGGCAACGCGAAGACGGUGAAGACCCGAGGCAACCACAUCUCCAACAAAGGCCUAACGGUGAGGGAAAACAACCUUACAAGGCCCACGCCCAAGAGAGCUUUGGUUAUGUGGUUGAGCCGAUUUCAACUGGCUUGGUGGGCUAAUGGUGGUGCGGUGUUGCUGGAGUGGAGGCGGGGCCGCUUGGUGCUAAACGUUGGGAGUGGAGGGGUCUGUUUGGUGGCUGUUGGCUCGGGGCUGUGAUGGUGGACAACUGGACGAUUACUAGUUGGGCGGUGGAGAGUGGACGGUGGCUGUGGGCGUGUGGGCUGGUGGGAUUGCUAAACAACUCCUGCACGUCUCCCACUUGGUCGCUGACCUUGCUGCCCCUGCUGAACUGGCUGCUGGGAUUGCUAGCUUCUGGCAACAAAACAAAAAGAAAAGAGCCAGGCGAAGGAGAGGGACGUGAGGGAAGAAUUGAAAUGGAGAGGAUGGUGGUCUGCUGAAAGGGGAGGGAAUGUGCGCACGCAAGAAGGAGGGAAGGGGAGA